Long non-coding RNA from Salvia miltiorrhiza (redroot sage), 892 nucleotides. RefSeq lists it as uncharacterized. The transcript is spliced from 2 exons. Lineage: Eukaryota; Viridiplantae; Streptophyta; Magnoliopsida; Lamiales; Lamiaceae. The record is from RefSeq and is a predicted model, not a curated record.
UAUGUUAUUCAAUUAUACACAAAAUCAUAAGACACGUUUUGACUCGUCACAUUAUUUAUUUAAAAACGAAAAAAUUUAUCCAUAUCGGAAAUUGAGACGAAAGAAGCGGCCGUCAAAACCCCCCUCCGGUUUUCCAUUUCUCACUGUUCCGUUCAUCUCUCUCUCUCUCUCUCUCACACACACACACAGUAUAUACCGUCGGAAUGUUGUCUUUCCUUUCCAGCCACUCGCAUAUCGGUUAUUUAGGGUGAAGAUGAAGACGGCAAUGGUGUUAUGUGCUAAUCGGAGGGGCGCCAGUUCAUCAACCUGCCACGACGUCGGCUGCGUCGGCGCCGGAUCGGACGGUGGUCAUUUUUUGGGGCUUCCGGAGGGAUUGGCCAGCCUUCUAUCUUCUGAUGUAGCUGAAUCCUCUUAUCUCCAGCCUAUGAUAUCGCCGGAACCCCCGGCGUCGCCGCCGACGUCAGCCGCAACAAUUCCAGAUCUGAGGUGAAGGGUUAUGCAGCUUGAAGAGGCAUCGAAGGGUCCAGCUUCAACAUUAUUGCCGGCAUUAUCAAUUACCGACUGCUUCCCUUCCCCCUCCUGUGUAUGUUAAUUCCUGAUCUAUGGCUGUGACAUUCAAGUUGUUAUUAGGUAAGUAAAAUCAUCUAAGGCCCUUUUCAAUAUGAUUGGUCUGAUCACUAAUUUAGUGCAUUGCUCAGCUGGAAUUUCUUCCCGAUUCCUGCUCUCGUAUUCCCUUGAUUCUAUCAGUAUUUCUAUGGUUAUUGGUGAAAUUUGAAUUGGGCUAAUUUGGCAUGUAUGUAUCUGGCUCCAAAUAGUAAAUAUUUUUCGGUGCCAUGAUACUGUGUAACAGCUGAGAUGAUAUUAUUUGUAGUUGAUGAUGUUAUUUUGAUGA